RNA transcript from Juglans microcarpa x Juglans regia, 1370 nucleotides. RefSeq lists it as uncharacterized. The transcript is spliced from 3 exons. Lineage: Eukaryota; Viridiplantae; Streptophyta; Magnoliopsida; Fagales; Juglandaceae. The record is from RefSeq and is a predicted model, not a curated record.
AUGGUCAAGUAGGUUCUUCUGCGGAAGGGAUUAUGCAGUUGGCGAUGGUGACUUUGCUGCCGGUAAGCUGGAAAUCUUAUGGUUAGAAGGAAAACACAUUGCUGGUCUCUUCUUCUAACGUUAGUUCUUCCCCUUUCUUAUCGAAGUCUCUCUCUUUCCCUCAGUUUUCUGAUAAACAAAUCGGGAACAACAGUUGGAAAGGUGGGAAGAGUGAGUGCAGUAACGGACUCGACUCCUUGGCCUUAAUCGAAGACCUGCAUGAGUUUUGAGGCCUCCAUUGUUCGAGAAGAUGUUUCUGGAGGUGGAUUGUGCGUCGUGGCUGUCAUCCACCACCUCCUUGUCGGCAGAUAUUGGUCGUCGGAUCAUUUCUCCGGUCUCAGAUCGGUGACCAUGGACUGGUAACUGGGUGGAUUUUGGAAUUUUUUCUUCGAAGAGCUCCAUGGGGGAAGAGGCUCAGCGUCACCAUCCACGUAGGGGAUGCUGUUUUUGUUUGUCGUCCGAGUGUUGGCAAUGGGGAGAUCCUUUGCUUUCAUUCUUGCUUCUGUUCUCUUCGGUUUGCCUAACGUUCUGAUACUCUUGUCGGAGCUUUGGUAAUUGGUGGAAUUCGUAUGAAGCCAUAGAAGAUGUUUGGUAAAAUGCCCAGAUGACCUCAAAUUUAUGGAGAUUUCCAUUAACAACCUUACAUUUGGAGCAGCACAUUUAGGGUAGUUCUCAGAAGUUUUAUUGCGAAUAGAAUGUCAAAGGAGAGAAUUCUCUUUGCCAAGUUGAAGGAAGGGCAAUCACGAAAGACAUGGGAAGCGGAUUACAGGCUGUGCAGGACGAGGAAGCAAUUGAGCAGAAGCUGUGUGAAGAUCGCUUGGUCCAAUCGAUGUAUAUCUCUGCUUCAUGGGUAUGCGAAUGGUUAUUGUUUUCGAAGGCUCAACCCAUGGCUCUCAAAUUCUCAAUGCAUUGUCUCAAAUUUUUGAGUCCAUGGCUUGGUGAUGGAGAUGCAAGAAGGGCUACCCGCAAUGCCACUAGGAGGGCUAGGCGUGCCAAGGCUAGGAGGGUGGCUUUGGGGUGCUUGCAUGGCUCGGAGGGUGAGGCUUUGGGCGCACAAGGCAAGGCCACAGAGGACCAACCACUUGCCACCUAGAGGUUGAUCGAGUUGUUGGCAAAUACCUUGAAUUUAGGGGAUGAGGCAAAUCCCUUGAUUUUAGGGGAUUGGGCGAUUUGAAGGAUGCUGACCGAGUUGUGCUUCUUCAAAUUAGAAAGUUUAUUCAUUUGUUAUUUAGUUAAUUUGUUUCCUCUAUUUUAGGAGACGUUGGGAUUGUUUUCUUAAUUUUAGAAGUUUGAUUUGUUUUGGGAUUGUGAUUUCAAAAGAAGUUGUUAGA